Molecule: non-coding RNA, 91 nt
Organism: Gymnothorax javanicus (giant moray)
Lineage: Eukaryota; Metazoa; Chordata; Actinopteri; Anguilliformes; Muraenidae
Source: the annotation of a GenBank genome assembly
GCCGGGUUAGCUCAGUUGGUUAAGGCGCCGCAUUGCGGAGCAGUGGUGACCUCCACGGCGCGGGUUCGAUCCCCGGUCAUACCAACCGGCA